ACGAACGCUGGCGGCGUGCUUAACACAUGCAAGUCGAACGGAAAGGCCCUGCUUUUGUGGGGUGCUCGAGUGGCGAACGGGUGAGUAACACGUGAGUAACCUGCCCUUGACUUUGGGUUAACUUCAGGAAACUGGGGCUAAUACCGGAUAGGCGUUCCUGCUGCAUGGUGGGGGUUGGAAAGUUUCGGCGGUUGGGGAUGGACUCGCGGCUUAUCAGCUUGUUGGUGGGGUAGUGGCUUACCAAGGCUUUGACGGGUAGCCGGCCUGAGAGGGUGACCGGCGACAUGGGGACUGAGAUACGGCCCAGACUCCUACGGGAGGCAGCAGUGGGGAGUAUUGCACAAUGGGCGGAAGCCUGAUGCAGCAACGCCGCGUGCGGGAUGACGGCCUUCGGGUUGUAAACCGCUUUCGCCUGUGACGAAGCGUGAGUGACGGUAAUGGGUGAAGAAGCACCGGCUAACUACGUG
Molecule: ribosomal RNA, 467 nt
Filed under: uncultured bacterium
Lineage: Bacteria
Description: partial 16S ribosomal RNA
Rfam family: Bacterial small subunit ribosomal RNA
Source: RNAcentral